RNAcentral lists this ribosomal RNA (253 nucleotides) under uncultured bacterium. RNAcentral describes it as "partial 16S ribosomal RNA". It matches the Rfam family "Bacterial small subunit ribosomal RNA", at positions 524 to 776 of the family's 1533-position model. The record is from RNAcentral.
UACGAAGGGGGCUAGCGUUGCUCGGCAUCACUGGGCGUAACGCGCACGUAGGCGGAUCUUUAAGUCAGGGGUGCAAUCCUGGAGCUCAACUCCAGAACUGCCUUUGAUACUGGGGAUCUCGAGUCCGGAAGAGGUGAGUGGAACUCCGAGUGUAGAGGUGAAAGUCGUAGAUAUGCGGAAGAACACCAGUGGCGAAGGCGGCUCACUGGUCCGGUACUGACGCUGAGGUGCGAAAGCGUGGGGAGCAAACAGG